AUUACUUAGCUCUCUAAUUCUCAUCUCAACUCCACCCAAAUAUCCAUUCAUUCAACCCAUUUUGCAUCAAAAUGAUGGGGGUUUUCAAGGAUAAGAGAGCCUUGAGAGGAUUCAGGACCCUCUUCUUCUUGAUAACCAUGAUUAUAUCGUUUCUAUUCUUCUCUGUUCCCAUUCUUUUAGCCGUCUCCGAUCUUCUCCUUCCGACUGCUCUGUUAUCGGCGUCCCUUUCAUCGUCGUUAGACGGUCCAGCUUUCUCCUUCCUCCAGACGCUCUCUUCUCAUUUCACCAAUUAUGAUUACAGAUACUCGCUUAUUGAUAUCCCUAUCAUCUCAAUAAUCAGAUCCGCCAUCAUCCUCUGUGUAUAUGGAUUCUGCGACGGGCCGGGGCUAUCUACGGGUCCGUACUUGGGAAUAACGACGGUUUGUUCCGUAGCGUCGUUGUUGUUUGUGUCUAUUAAGGCGUCGUAUGUGUUCGGCGGCGGGAGUGUUGGUGUUGGAGCGACGGAGGUGGCGUUGUUUGUGUGCUCGCUGGCGUUGGCGAUCGGUCACAUCGUGGUCGCAUAUCGAACUAGUUGCAGAGAACGACGGAAGCUUCUGGUUUACAAAAUUGAUAUCGAAGCUGUGUCGACAUUCAAGAACGGGUUCAAACGGUACUCCAAGAUUCUUCACGACGCAAGAGUCAAAGUGAAACUACAAAACUAAAGAGAAAAAAAGGACACAACAGUUCUCAUCUUAUUCUUACCAAAUGGGAUGGAGUUAAAACACUAUUUCAGUGGUGACCCCAAGCUCCCCACAUCCAAGUUGCAGGUCAUCCGAAGGAGAACGGUAACGAGGAAUGUAUGUAAACUAUGGAGUUAUGAAGAAUUAUUUUUGGGGGUACAAGUGUGGGGUUUGAUGAGUGUCUCACAAUUUUUGUGUGUGUGUGUGUAUGUUGAUGGUGUUAACAAGCUUGUUUUAGAAAUGCAAAAAGAAAGAAGGCAGAAUUAGGUGAGUAGAUAGAAAAGAAAAGGAAAAUAGAAUAAUGGUAUGGUACAAGUUUUUAUGCAGGAGUUACAAACAUGGUGAUGGAAGUGGGUCAGAAAAGGCAUGAGGCCUUGUCGCGAGAGGGAGAGGGAAUCAUGGGGGGCCUACUCUUUUUGCUUCUUGGCGCUUCCUGUUUUUCUUUUUAUUUAUGGUAGUUACCGUCCCCAAAGCU
Cynara cardunculus var. scolymus (artichoke) is the source of this 1194-nucleotide RNA transcript. RefSeq lists it as uncharacterized. The record is from RefSeq and is a predicted model, not a curated record. Lineage: Eukaryota; Viridiplantae; Streptophyta; Magnoliopsida; Asterales; Asteraceae. The transcript has 4 exons.